GGGGCAGAGCGAGCGCGCGGGGGAGCAAGUUGACAGCCAAUGGCUGCAAAGCGCCGCUAGAUCGCCUGCAUGUUUUGCGCGCGAAGGCAGGGGCGUUGCUGUGCGGGUGUCCAAUGGGAUCGCAGGGCCGGCAGCUCGUUUGCAGGGCGCGCGGCUUGCUGCAGAUGGAGGGGAAGGCAAAAUGGCGGCGACAGGCGGUGGGGGGGCGGUCGCUGCCUCCGAGCAUAGAAGGCGGGUUUGGGGGAUAGCAGCCUCAACCCUGCGGCAGUGCCGUGCCUGGGAGCGGCGUCACCGUUUCCCGGCUUUAUUCUGUGUGAACGCAGUGAGCCCGCCAGCUGCAAAUGCACGGAGCGCACCCUGAGAUCCUGCAGGAAAGGGGAGGGAGGGAGCGCAGCACCGCGGCUGUGCUGUCAGCUCGUAGGUGGGGAUGGAUUUAGGAACACAAAGGCGGGGAGACCUCGGAAAGGGAGCAGCGCCCCGUGCUUGUAAAGAUAAGGGGCACGAACCGCCCUCCCCGUGCUGAGCAGGGCUGGAAUGCAACGGCCGCUCCACCCAGUGCAGAGUGCGGCUCAGCUCCGUGCUCUGCCGGCUCACACCCAGCGCUGGCUGCUCGCAGGGGCUGCAUGGGCAGCUGUGUGCUUUUUCCUUCUUUGUGAAGCACGAGCAGACCGUGAGUAGGACCUAAGAAUAGUCCUGCUGGCACUUGGGAAUUAAACAACGGCAUUCCGAUAUGCAGUCGUGCUUUGCACAAUGGGUGCACGGCAGGGGAAGGCAGCCCGGAGCGGCAGUGAGUCAGUGCAGGGAGGAGAGCUCCGGCCAAUGAGUCACUGCGUUAGAAAUUAAAGGCUGUUAACACACUUGGCUGAAAUAACCCAUUUACAGUACAGUGGAAAAACGAAGGCCCGGCAGUCUGGACGAUGCUAUCCCUCCCUCCCCGCCCCAAGUGAUGAAUCCCAGCGUUACUUUCUGAAGCCAGUUUGGUGCGUUGCGGCUCAAGAGAAGUGAGCAGAGCGAGGACUUGAGGACUAUCAGAAGCUCGCUCCCCAUUGGUGAUAACGGCAGUUUUUACUUCAGAUCUGCACACCCUGAAGUUUGAAAGCGAUGCAUUUCUAAUGCGGCCCUUCCCUUCCCCCUCCCCCCCCCGUGCAGUGGUACAAACUGAUCCUGGUUAAAAAUAACCCCCAGAUUCCUGAUAGUGAACAAAAAGAGGCAAUUGCACAACUCCUCUUCCAACCGUACCGCCUCAUCAGGAUUUGGGAUGUCAUCAAUUCAGGAGCGAGCAGCAGCGUGGCCGUUCCCCAUCAAUCAGGGACAGGCAGAAGGACACACCUAUGAGACCACUGCUGUCAUGAUGGUGUAAAUACUGCCUAAUUAUGUUGCAACCUCUACUCCCAGAUUUCUGUAGAGAAGACUGCUGAUGUUGUGUGAUCUCUUUGCAAAACGCCCACGGGGGAAAGAAGGCUGAAACCACCGCAAGAGAAAUGAACCAGAGCCAUACUGAGUUAGCCUGAGUUCCACCCACAUCCCUGUGACUGGAGAUUCCUGUUAGCUGGUUGGAAGUGUUUAUCUGCAGCCAAAAUCUCAGCCGUCUGAACCCCGCUCUUGGUUGUUCAAGGUUUCGUCGCCAUUUCAUGCACAGCUCCGGAGAUGGAGCUGCAAGGCACAGGGUGCUUCAGCAGCAAGCUGGUGUAUGUGGGAGUAGGAGAGCUGGGAGAUGUUUAUCAGUGCUGUGUCUGCACUGGCAGCGUUUACCACAUUAGCCUGCAGCACCUAUGUCUGCAGCCAUAACAUCUCAGGUAAAGUAGUUGAGUGGAAGUCCAAAUUCACUUCACCCCAACAACACACCCAAGAUUUCACACAAUUCAUACCAUGUUGCAUAAUCUAGCCUGAAAAAAUCUCCAGGAAAAAAAACCUGCAGCUUUCCUGCAGUUUUUACACAAAUAUACACAUAGUCCUCGUUAGCUUCAAAAUACUAUUUUUACCCCUAUCUUUUUUUUCCUUGGAUUCAACUUGACAGCAUGCAGUUUAUCUUAGCACAGAAGAUGGAGCGUGGAUAUGGGUUUAGUUGAGCUGUAGCACUUCAGCUGCAGCACAUUUAUUUACAAAACAACCAAAAAAAAUAUGAAAUCAUUGAUUCAAAGGAAUCAAUAAUAAAUAUUUGCUUUCCUCUGAGUUGUUCAGACACAGUACAAGUACACCAAUUAUAGCAGGUAGAAGAGAUGUAAGCUCAGUUUAGCUGCUUAGACAUAAGAAAGCUACAUAACAUUGUAUGCAUUUAAUCACACUAGUAAUAACUGGUAUAUGACAGUAAAUGCUUUAAACACACUAUUUUACACAAUCAAGUUUGGCUUAUGGUUCAUUUGUUUCCCUUGUGCAACUUCUGAUUUUCUGGAGCCCAGAAAAUGUCCCUUUGGGAAUGAGAUACCUCUUAAAUGAACUCCUUCUCCAGGGAAGAGGCUGUUGGGCACAGGCUUGGGGGGGAAUUCUGCUUGCUGGCACCAAGCAGCCCCCAGGCUACAAUGGAGCACAGCACCCUUUGCUAAUUGCAGGCCUGGCCUGUGACUCAAACUAACCUCCAGUAUUAGGUACUUAGGCCGUAACCAGCUCUACUGUUUGGACUGUUAUCCUCAUUUUGUGUUAAUGAGGUACUGGUUGCUUGGGGUGUUUGCUUUGCUGAGAAAUUCGCUCCUGGUUUACUCUGCAUAGAAUAGGUGUCACAGCAAAUCUGUUGAGGUGACAUCACAGUCAGGGAACUUAAAAAGCCACAAACUUCACAGGUCCUACACCUGGAAUGCUUUGGAAGAACUUACUAGCAGUGCCUAUGCCUUCAGGGCCUACAAAAAGAGGAGUCGCAGACACUGAGCAGCUGCUGCCUCCAACCAAACCCAGCAGAGCACAGCUGACCCAGGAGCGUGGCUCUGAAAUGGUGCCUAGGCAAGAUGACCCAGUAUCCAGUACUGGUGAAAGCAAAAAGCUUAUCAAACAGCCGAUUCCCUUCUAUCAGUUGGUGGCUCAAGGCCCCCCCUCACAACAAACAGUAUUUUGGCCUUCUGAGGGUGGGUCGUGCUGACUGCAGUGCAGAGAGCAAACGGUACAGGUGAUGAGGAUGGUGAUUGCUUUAGGAAGAGAAGUUCUCAGAUAGCAUAGGGCAAAUUUGGAAACUAUUUCUCAUAGGGAAGUGGCCCAAACAUGGCCUCGUUUCAAUCAGACCUUCUGAGAUCUCAAAUAAAUGGAAUGAUGGGUCUCAGAAAGGGAUUUAGAACCUACAAGCUCAGUGUCUUCUGUGUAGCAGUGGUCAGAGUCGAGUCCUUCAGAGGAAAGUACAGACAGUUCUGGGACCACCUGCCCCCACAGGAAGCCUGUCCCUAUUUCCCAUCAUUUCUCAUUGGCCUUCAAACUGAAGUGUAAGACUGUAUCCCUUGAAAAUGUCUAUUCUGGCAAACAAUCACAGAAAGUGUUUUCAUCAUUCCUGCAUUCUUUUAAGAGUCCUGCUAAGGUUUAAGCCUUGAGAAUAGCACGUGGCCUACAGGCUGGUGUCUGGCGGUACACCUUCCUUCCCUUAGCACUGCACUUACAGUUUCCCUGUCCCUGGUGUAUUUUCCUCAUGACGUGUUCUUUCACUCCAUCUUCAGUCUUACCUGGAUGUGUGAAGGUCAAUCCAGGAAUGCUGUUCAUUCACUUUUGGGAAGAGCUCUCCAAGGUUUCUGUAUGGUUCACCCCAAACUGGUGAAUUCACAACCUGGCUGUAGCAAACACAUCUUCCAAGUCCUUCCUGCAGGCUUUUUGGUUGGUUAGCAGCCCUCAGUUUUUGAGGUAUGCCUUCAUUUUGGCUUCAGCAUCCAAUUCUCUUCUCACUAAGGCUCAUGUGACACAGACGCAACUCAGGUGAAGUUACUGCAGCUUUUCAGUGCUGUCCAUACAAGCAGUCAGGCUCCUGGCCGCAUAUCUCUGUAUGCACCAUAAAUCUUAUCCUAGCAAUUGAAGUAUCUCUGCUUCCUUGACAUGUAGGCUCCUUCCUCUUUAGUACAAGGGUUAGUUCAGACACAUGCUUUUGUGCUGUCUCUCUUGACCUUUCCCAUCUGCUUUAAUUGCAGCCUCCAGAAGUAUUUCCCUAGAAGGCUGAAUGCAGAAAAAAGGCAAGCAUGUGUCAGGUCCAUUCAAGGUUGACCACCAGAGCACCCUCAGCAGACAGAUUGCUUCAAAAUCUUCAGGAGUCGGAGCAGUCACACGGUCUGGAACGCUCGGCUCUGGGCAGGCACCAUGACCAGCGUGGCUCCCAUCUUCAUCAGGUUGGCGUAGUCGACUUUCUUUGGCUCUGUUUCCUUCCCUCCCAUCUCCCUCUGGCUGUACUGUGGGGGAGUCAGAUGGGGAGUAGCUUCGGUUGACAAAGUCCGCUGGCUGCGAGAGGCACUGUUGGCUGUCGACCUGGUUGAGGAGGAACCCGAGCGUGAGCUCCUGGAACCAGAGGAUGAGGAGCUGGGCUUGACAAGAUGGGCUUUGGGUGCCUCUGCGUCUUCUCUGCAAUCAAACAUACCACGAGAACACAAACAAUUACACAUUUUACUACCCUGAAUUGCUGCUGCAGUGAUUGCUUGCUGAAGUCGCCAAGGCACAUUUGUCCAGAAGUUUGAGCAAGGCAGUGGGUUUCCUGAACUCUGUGCAACAUAACUUCGUAGACUGAAUUUGCUGUAGCUCUGCAGAGCUAUUGGCCAAAUGGACUUAGAAUACAUGCGUGCACAACUGGC
Molecule: long non-coding RNA, 4745 nt
Organism: Gallus gallus (chicken)
Lineage: Eukaryota; Metazoa; Chordata; Aves; Galliformes; Phasianidae
Exons: 2
Source: RefSeq, a predicted model, not a curated record